GAUCAAGUUAAAUGUCCAAUUUAUUUUUAUAACUUGAAACCAGAACAAACUUGGUUUUGAACAAGCGUACAAAUGAAAUGGCAGACAUGCUGAACUCAACAUUGUGACAUUAAGGGGAAAAAGAAGAGGCCCCAAAUCUUGUACAGAGAAUAAAAGGAACAAUAAAUAUUUUACUAAGCCAUAUUGAAAUGACCUCCUGUCAUCUCAACAUUUUAUCCAUAAUAAUAAAAAAAAAAAGUGCCUGUUUCUUAAACAGAGCACAAAUACCAAGCAAUAAUAAAUAGUUCCAAACUUGUAGUAAAAGACAGAACCUCCAGGUAAACAACAAAAGCUCAUACAAUAAUAGAAAAGGUAGUAAAAAUAUUUCGCCUUGCCAGUACAAAUGCAAAUACUUAACUCAAUGUAACUUUGCUUCACAAGGCUGAUACAAAGAGCACCAAAGUCAUGGGUUUGUCUGUGUUCCAAAAAGCCUUUGACUGUCACUCAGGACCGGGACAAAAAGGCCCAUUUCCCUACUUUUCACAUUUUGCCUAGAGGAAUUCAGCCUCCUCCUCUCCCCAUGAAAGACCCUCCAAUGGCAAGUGGCAGGUUCCAAUUUGGGGCAGCUUUGAAUCAAGUGGUGGCAGCAUGGAAACCAGCCUGAGGUCGGCUGGGUCCCCACCCCUCCCCGGGGCUCGGGCCUCUCUCUCACGGAGUCGUCUGCUUCAGCGUUGGCUUUUUAAACAUGAAAGAGAAGCCACGUACUCUUUUCUCUGCCUUCGUCAUCGACAGAGACACAAUCUUUGUGCUUUAGGAUGGCUUAGUCCUGGCAUUGGGGUGACUUUGCACGGGCUGGCACGCGCUGGCUAGCAUUGGUAACUACGGGAGGAUCAAGACCGAGGCUCUCGGGGACCUUCCCGGGGCAUCCAGGGUAGCCCCCGGGUCUUGGGGACAAGCAGGCAGGACAGGGACAUCUCAGCUUUAUCUCGUACUUCCUCCCCUUUUCUUUGCACUUUGCAAAGGUAAGUGGCAAGAAGGAAAGGGCGUGUGGAACAGAAGAGCGCCCAGAAGAAAGAUUUCUGCAUUUGGUAAAGAACUGCUCAAAAGGAUGCUUGGUUAUACUUUCAUAACCUGAAAUAAUGGUUUCUUAGAGUUCCUGAAAUUAAAAAAAAAAAAAAAAAAAAAAGGCUUCCUGAUAUAGGUUUUUUUUAAAAAAAUGUAUUAUUCCCUCAUCCAAAAAAACCACCAGUUUAUUAUCUUAAAGCUACCUGGCUUUACAAAAAAAAAGGGGGGGGGGACAGAAAGGGAGAAAUAAAUCAAAUAAAAAUGAAAAGGACAAAUCAAAGACCGACAGAGGCUGGAGGAUGGAGAGGAAAUGCAGAAGAAGCAAAGAGAAAGAGCUAUGGAAAGGCACCGAAUUCAGCCCAGGCCCUAGGCAUUCGGAAACUGACGGAAUGUAGGUUUCAGAGAGAAAAGCAGCAAAGCAGGUAAGAAAGACAACAGGCCAACCCUCUCCAUGGAAUAUAAGGUCCUGGUUGUGACAGGGACUCCGAUUUGAUUUGCGCUGGUCCCAGCCACAGAUCACGUCACCUGCGCCUGAUACGCCAGCUCCCUUUAUUACAUUUUUCUGUUUAAUGUUUUCUCAAGGACUAAAGAAAGCUCGGUGUGCACUUCUUUCUGCUCUGAAGGGCGGGAGAUGUGGCGGUGGCGACGCCACGGUGGUGACAGCAGAGGAGGAAGAUGCUUUUGGCCUCUCUUCCUCCACAGCUGCCACCCUUACCGAUGGCCUCGGAGAGAAAGGGAGGACAGUGAAAUGCUACCGACAUCUUUACAAAAACUGAUUUUUCCACUCAACACGAAUACAGAAUUUCCCGUCUGGUCUGCUGUGGCCACACCAGGGAGCCUUGAUGCAAGGUUGGGGGCGUUCAGAGUGAAGCCCUAUCUAUUCCAACAGUCCUUUGUCGAGGCCAAUUCCGACAAAAAUAUAUACAACUAAAAUGAUUUGUGAACCAAAGCAUUUACCUACUUCCUUUUGUUUCUUUUCCUCAGAGGUUGUCAAACAACCUUUUUUUUUUUUUUUCUCCUGUACAAUAGGACUUAACAUACAAAUUUUUUUUUGCAAUAUUUUAUCCUGCCAAAUUAAAAAAAUAUAUUAUGGCAGCCUGCUUGUUUUUGUUUUUUUUUUCUUUUUAUUUCCAAAUUCACUAACAAAAAGGUACAUUAAAUCCCUUUAAAAGGACAAGCUUACAGUUAAAAAAUUACAAGCUCCAGUAAAAAUACAGCAAGUGCCUACAUUAUAUGAACCAACCAAUAUAUCCAUUCCAGAGGGAGGUGGGAGGAGAAAAAUAAGUACAGAUCAGAAAUGUGGAUUUUUUUUUUUCUCUGCAAAGCAAUAACAAUAUUAAGCACUUUUUUUUCUACAUACUUUUUCUACAUGGUGUAGCAAUCCCCUUUUAAUCCCCCAAUACAAGUUUCUAUACAUUUUUUUUUUUGAAAUAAAAAUUCAACACCCAAGGCAGAAAAAAAUUUACUAAAACUCCGACUUUACAGUUACUGUGACAAGAACAAAUUAUUAGAGACCCACCAUUUAAAUUUUACUGCAACAUUUUCAAGGAAAAGAAAAGGGUUUUUUUUUUUUUCUUGUUUUGUCAAAUGCCCAGGCAUUCUCGAUUAUUACAAAUACUGGUCCACUUUUACAGUAAUCAAGAAAUUUUAAUAUAUAUAAUAUAUACUAAAACCCCGUCACCAAAAGAAAACAAUAUACACGCAGCCGUUGUGGCAUUUUUUUUGUAACCUAUUAAGCAAACUUUGAAAAAAAAAAUGAUCGCUCCAACACACAUACACACAAUUUUUUUUUACCCUUGUAUGUAUCCAAUACUGUAAACGUAUUUUUAAGACAGAGUGCACUAAAUUUAACUUUAGAAAAAAAUUAGCCGUUGUUCCUGAAUUGUUUUUGUUUUUUCAUUCAACGAUAGCAACUUGUAACUUGUGUCACUUGAGUUUUAAUUCAGCAGUAAAUCACCUCCACUCCACAUGUAAGCAGCGUUGUCCCACAGACAAAAGGGGCUGAGGAUAAUUCAGCUAGUGAUGUCCAAGGUUGUGCUGGGUUUAUUUCUUCAUUUGAUUGGGUCUUAUGGCAUUGUCAUGUCUUCAACCAGGAUUUUUAAAAAUUUAUUUAAAGGAAAUGUGGCUUUGUUUGUUUCUAAAGAAAUGUACUUUUCUCGUUUUACUUUUUUAAAAAGUCUUUUCAUU
Molecule: long non-coding RNA, 3231 nt
Filed under: Sus scrofa (pig)
Lineage: Eukaryota; Metazoa; Chordata; Mammalia; Artiodactyla; Suidae
Description: lncRNA (ENSSSCG00000054953.1)
Source: RNAcentral